RNAcentral lists this unclassified non-coding RNA (253 nucleotides) under uncultured Caryophanales bacterium. RNAcentral describes it as "uncultured Bacillales bacterium contains 16S-23S intergenic spacer region". It matches the Rfam family "Bacterial small subunit ribosomal RNA", at positions 524 to 776 of the family's 1533-position model. Lineage: Bacteria; Bacillati; Bacillota; Bacilli; Caryophanales. The record is from RNAcentral.
UACGGAGGUGGCAAGCGUUGUCCGGAAUUAUUGGGCGUAAAGCGCGCGCAGGCGGCCUCUUAAGUCUGAUGUGAAAGCCCCCGGCUCAACCGGAGAGGGCCAUUGGAAACUGGGAGGCUUGAGUAUAGGCGAGAUGGGUGGAAUUCCACGUGUAGCGGUGAAAUGCGUAGAGAUGUGGAGGAACACCAGUGGCGAAGGCGACUCUUUGGCCGAUAACUGACGCAGAGGCGCGAAAGCGUGGGGAGCAAACAUG